AGGCUCCCGGGGCGCCGCCCACCAGCCCGACCCGGCGGCCUAGAAAUCCCCAUUCUGCUCCCGCCUCGCCCCGGCCGGCCAGCGCAGGGCCCCUCAGGCCCGCAAUCUCCAGGCUCAAACGGCGAACAGGUCCCCGCAUCCGCCUGCCUUUGCACUUGGGGGUGGGAGAGCCACCUUGUGACGCCCCUUCUGCCUCUCACCAGCUUCCCCCUUUCUCCCCGUCCUGUACGGUUCCCCCUGGAGCCAGAAGGAAGCCCGGUGCCAGCCAGCCUUCCUGAAAGACCAAGCCCGCGCCAUCCGGCUUCCUCCAGUGGACGCCUGCAGGACCCAGGAAUGUUUUUCUUGAAGGCAUCCAGCAUCUCCAGUUAGCAGUACUGAUUUUUUUUCCCCCCAACAAAGGAACACUACAUCAACACUGUUGGCGGGGACCUGGACACAGAAGACUCCUGUUUCAAGAAAAUACAAUCAUCUCUCAAAGGCUGUAAUUUAUAUGCAUUUUAAAACUCUAGGCAUUGAAAACCACCCAAGUGUCCCAAAUAGAAGGGUAAUAUAUAAUCAAUCACUCAGUGUAAUAUUAUACAUCCUUUAAAAAUGUUAUUGGGAAAUGUUUUAUGAUCUGUAAGUCCAAGGAAUCCUCUCCCACCAUUUCUUUCCCCCCGCUGUUCCCCCAUACCCACACUUCUUUGUUCCAAUUGGCAUGUAAAUUUGGUUUUCCCGCCAAAUGAGUCAGUCAUGAUGGGAACCUCAACUGAUUUGAACAGAUGUGUGUCAAUGUUACUUGGAAAACUAGAUGUCAAUAACCAGGGUCACAGAAAAAGGCAGUGGUCACAACUCUGUAAAAAUGUAUGCAUGCACACAGACAAGAACUAAAGUGGAACCCCACACAGGAAAACAGUGGGCUGUACUCCAGUGCUGGGACAUUGAAUGACUGUAUGCUGCUUUUGAUUUCCGUUAAUAUGGGCAACUGUCCAAUUAAAAAAAAAACUCCUAA
Molecule: long non-coding RNA, 991 nt
Filed under: Homo sapiens (human)
Lineage: Eukaryota; Metazoa; Chordata; Mammalia; Primates; Hominidae
Description: HSALNT0408787
Source: RNAcentral